Non-coding RNA from Paramisgurnus dabryanus, 4796 nucleotides. Lineage: Eukaryota; Metazoa; Chordata; Actinopteri; Cypriniformes; Cobitidae. The record is from RefSeq and is a predicted model, not a curated record.
GGACGUCAUCGUGCUGUUUUCAGUAUGGAUGCUGUUUAGUCCGCUGACAGCCGUUGCUGCUUGCCACCGUUAUACAUGGCACGUUUGCACUAAAAUAAUCACCUAUCAUCGUUGAUUUUGUUUCUGUCUGAAAGAGCAAGGUGAAUAUCAAAAUGACUGACAGCGGGGAUCUUUGUCCUCACCUGGACUCUACUGGUGAAAUUACCAAGGAGGAACUCAUUCAGAAAUCAAAGGGCACGUGUCAGUCAUGUGGGGUGGGUGGCCCUAACCUCUGGGCAUGUUUACAGUGUGACUGUCCCUAUGUAGGCUGUGGUGAAUCGUAUUCAGAUCACAGUACUAUCCAUGCACAGACCAAAAAGCACAAUCUGACCGUAAACCUGACCACAUUCAGGGUGUGGUGUUAUGUCUGUGAGAGAGAGGUGUUUCUGGAACCAAAGCCUGUUACGCCUAUAUCAUCAGCUCACCGCUGCAAACCGCUUGAACAGGAUCCUCUACCCCAAAUGACAUGUCACUCAUUGAGGGCAGUGCCUAUCGCAGUGGCCGAUGAGGAAGGCUCAGAAUCUGAAGAGGAUGAGCUUAAACCUAGAGGUCUCACAGGGAUGAAGAACAUUGGCAACUCCUGUUAUAUGAAUGCUGCCCUGCAGGCUUUAUCUAACUGCCCUCCUUUGACUCAGUUUUUCCUGGAUUGCAGUGGCUUAGUGCGUACAGAUAAAAAGCCCGCAUUGUGUAAAAGCUAUCAGAAGCUUGUCUCUGAGCUCUGGCACAAGAAACGGCCGAGUUAUGUUGUUCCCACUAGUCUCUUUCAUGGCAUCAAACUGGUGAACCCUAUGUUUCGGGGCUAUGCUCAACAGGACACUCAAGAGUUUUUGCGUUGUCUGAUGGACCAGCUUCACGAGGAACUAAAAGAGCCCCUAACUGAAUGCGGUGGUGCGAUCUUAGACAUCGACCCCGACCGCAGCUUUGAUAACCGUAACCAUGGUGAUGGAGACCGAAGCCCCUCUGAGGACGAAUUUUUAUCGUGUGACUCUGGAUCCGGGAGUGAAAGGGGGGAUGGAGACAGGUCGGGAGGAGAGGCGGAGCUGCUGAUCCAGGAUGAGUGUAUUGGAGUAAGAGAGAAUGGAGGGAUCUCGGAGAAAGAAAGGCUGAAGGAAAGAAAAGGAGAGGAGAGGAAACGGGAAAUGGAUGAAGAUGCAGAUGUAGACACGGCUGCAGAGGAUGGAGAGGCAGAGAGAGAAACAGACUCAACCGUCGUAACCGCAGCUGUGCAGGCACCAGGAAAUACAGAGCCUGAUAAUGAGGCUUCCAUGAACUGUCAAUCUUCUCGUCCCUGUAGCCCUGUCCACAGUGUUCAGGAGCUGCACUCCAAACUUUCUAGCAGUCCACCGAGGUCCAGCCCUCUUAGAACUGGCCCGACUUACACUUUCAAGAAAGCUCAGAUGCUUCUGGGAACCAGAAAGAAGAAGCAGUCCCGUUUCCGCAGUGUUAUUUCAGAUAUUUUUGAUGGGUCUAUUCUGAGCCUCGUUCAGUGUUUGACAUGUGACCGGGUGUCAACGACAGUAGAGACCUUUCAGGACUUGUCUUUGCCUAUACCAGGUAAAGAGGAUUUGGCCAAACUCCAUUCCUCCAUCCAUCAGAGUGCUCCUGUUAAAACUGGUGUCUGUACGGAUGGCUAUGCUGCCCAGGGCUGGAUCUCCUACAUCAUGGACUCUAUUCGACGGUAUACUGAGUUUGUGGUGUCCUGUAUUCCCAGCUGGUUUUGGGGGCCCAUGGUGACGUUGGAGGACUGCCUGGCAGCAUUUUUCGCUGCUGAUGAACUGAAAGGAGACAAUAUGUACAGCUGUGAACGAUGUAAAAAAUUGAGAAAUGGUGUGAAAUAUUGUAGAGUUCUCCGUCUACCUGAAAUAUUGUGCAUUCACCUGAAGCGUUUUAGGCAUGAGGUCAUGUACUCAUUUAAGAUAAACAGCCAUGUAUCAUUUCCAUUGGAGGGUUUGGAUCUUAAACCCUUCCUGGCUAAGGAAAGCCCAUCUCAGAUUACUACCUACGACCUGCUGUCUGUCAUCUGUCACCAUGGCACUGCUGGCAGUGGUCAUUAUAUAGCAUACUGUCAGAAUGUGAUUAACGGACAGUGGUAUGAGUUUGACGAUCAGUACGUAACGGAGGUGCACGAGACCGUAGUGCAGAACGCUGAAGCAUACGUCCUCUUCUACAGGAAGAGCAGUGAGGAAUCGGUAAGAGAGAGACAGAAGGUUGUAGCUCUGGCUAAUUUAAAGGAGCCAAGUCUCCUGCAGUUCUACAUCUCCAGAGAAUGGCUUAACAAGUUCAACACGUUCACUGAGCCGGGACCCAUUACCAACCAAACUUUUCUCUGUCAACAUGGAGGUAUUCCUCCAACUAAGCACCAUUACGUGGAUGAUCUGGUAGUGAUCCUGCCUCAAAAUGUGUGGGAAUAUCUUUAUAACAGGUUUGGGGGAGGCCCGGCCGUAAAUCACUUAUAUGUGUGCGCCAUCUGCCAGGUGGAGAUAGAGACAGUAGCCAAACGGCGGAAAAUGGAGAUCGACACUUUCAUCAAGUUGAAUAAGGAGUUUCAGGCCGAGGAAGCCCCUACGGUCAUUCUGUGUAUUAGCAUGCAGUGGUUCAGAGAAUGGGAGAACUUUGUCAAGGGCAAAGAUAACGAGCCACCAGGCCCUAUUGACAACAGCAAGAUUGCGGUAAUGAAAAGCGGAAAUAUCCAGCUCAAACAGGGAGCAGACUACGGACAAAUAUCUGAAGAAACGUGGCAGUACUUGUUAAGUAUUUAUGGCGGUGGGCCAGAGAUUGCUGUGCGUCAAACCAUCAGCCCUCCAGACACUGACACACACGGAGAGAGGAAGAUAGAGGCAGAGACCAGAGUGCUCUAAAGUGUCUGCGUGCGCACACAGGAAGAGACAUACCAGACAUAUUUCAGCAGAACACUCGUUCUAGUCAUCGUAUGGUACAGACUGGUUCGAAGCAGACACCGAUUACAUUAAUUGGUGAUGAUGCCUUAUGGAUGGUUUUUCGCACUAUGCUUACAUUUGUGUCUCACAAACACUUUUUGAACAUUUCUGUGGAUCUGUUAUCUGUGAUUGACAGAGCUACCAUAGUGUAGGAAUUGGCCGUGUUAGGUAACAAAAUUAUCAGACACAUUAUUAAUUCAAUACAUUCAUGAACAUGGUUUAUGUAUGCGCAUCUGUGAUACGCUUGUUUCGUCAAUGGGACUAAGGGCAAUGACGUAAGGCUAGUAUCUAAGUAUGUUAAUUCUUCGAUAAUGCAGAGGUAAAUUACAUGUUAUAAGCUGGACAUCUACUGUCACUCAAAAUGUAUGUUAGAGGUUGUUGCUGACUUCUGUGUAAGCAAAUUAGGGUUGAAAUUAGUACUGCAUGUCCAAAGCAGCUUUCCCUGGCACUUAGCUUUGAUUUAAUCACAAUAAUUUAAACUACAUGACAGGGUCAAAUAUUCAGAAUAAAAAUAGAGAAUGAAUUUUUUUUAGUAAAUACACUUUUAACUUUUGCAGUAAACUAUUUACAAAGCAAGUCCCAUUCGUAUACUUUCAACUAUUUCUUGCCAAAAAUAUAAAUACAAAAAUGAUUUCCUGUAACACUCAAAUGGUCUUGUUCACACUAGCCGAUGUUUCAAUAGAAACACUUUCUAGGGAAAAAAGCUUACCAAGAUUGUUGUGUAACAAGAAGGAUACUGACUUUUACAUGUUAUUGCGUAAGUUAAAAUUCAUGCAUAAAAAUGAGUCCACUUUAAAAGUAAAAGGACAGGAUGUGAUGUCAUAGAUGGCUUUGCCUUUCAAUGCUGCUAGUAAAGGGGAUUUUUAAACCUUUUUUUUGUUUACCCAAUUCAACUGACAUUCAACUUAAUUUUUUUACCAGAACCAUGUUAUUAGAACCCAUUUAUUAGAUUUGGAUGUUUAAUGCUCAAGAAAUGUUUUGUCGUCAUUAAGAUUAUGUUCUGUUUCAAGAUAUUAUGAAAUCCUCUGUUUUAAAAUGUAUAACUCCAGGCUAUUUCACAAUCAAAGGAAGUGAAUCUUCCCUGAAUAUCCCAUGCUUGGUGCAACAGCUUGUUGUGUAAGCUAUUUGAGAUCAUCAGUAUUAAAAGGUCUUAAAAUCAUUUCCUCAAAAUGGUACAAACAUGUACCAGCUUCUUCAAAUGUUUGGUAUGACUCUAAAGUAAAGUCUGCAUCAUGUUGCAGUGUUUAAAUGAAGUCGCAUUUAAUAAUUAUACACUGUUAAAAUGAUUUGUUGGUUCAACUUAAAAAAGUAAGGUACCUGGUUGCCUCAAAAGUUUAUGUUAAUUUAACUCAAAAAUUGUGUAAAAUUUUGUGUCAACUAUUAUUUUUAAGUUGAAUUAAUUAAUUUAAAGGCAACCAGGUAACUUAAUUUUUCAAGUUGAACCAACUUUUUUUACAGUUAUACAAUUCCACAACCGAUAGUACUAAACUAGUUUUCUAAGGGAACGUGCAAUGAGGUAGAUCAGAUGUGUCUGAAAUGCUCAUAGGGUAGGGUUAAAAUAUGUCUGUUUUUGAACAAUGUUUGUAUAUAAUAUUGUGUAAAUUUUUAUUUAUGAAUGUUUUUCUUUAAUGUAAAAGUUAAUUCUGCUGAAUUGUGUAUAUGAUAACAUGGCUACGUUUGAACACGAAGAAACUUAUGUUACAUAUUUUGUUGCAGGAACUUUCCAAGGUAACUUCUGAUGUGAUGUCUUUUAAACUUAAGUGAUUUCAAUGAGAUGUGUAUGAUUUGACAAAUAGAAAUAAAGUCUGUUCUUUAUCACUG